This 558-nucleotide ribosomal RNA is filed under the name uncultured Ascomycota. RNAcentral describes it as "LSU rRNA". It matches the Rfam family "Eukaryotic large subunit ribosomal RNA", at positions 674 to 1236 of the family's 3401-position model. The record is from RNAcentral. Lineage: Eukaryota; Fungi; Ascomycota.
UCUAACAUCUGUGUGAGUGUUUGGGUGUCAAACCCGUACGCGUAAUGAAAGUGAACGGAGGCGGGAACCCCUCGGGGUGCACCGUCGCCCGAUCCUGAUGUCUUCGGAUGGAUUUGAGUAAGAGCAUAGCUGUUGGGACCCGAAAGAUGGUGAACUAUGCCUGAAUAGGGUGAAGCCAGAGGAAACUCUGGUGGAGGCUCGCAGCGGUUCUGACGUGCAAAUCGAUCGUCAAAUUUGGGCAUAGGGGCGAAAGACUAAUCGAACUAUCUAGUAGCUGGUUCCUGCCGAAGUUUCCCUCAGGAUAGCAGUAACGUUUUCAGUUUUAUGAGGUAAAGCGAAUGAUUAGAGGCCUGGGGGUUGAAACAACCUUCACCUAUUCUCAAACUUUAAAUAUGUAAGAAGUCCUUGUUGCUUAGUUGAACGUGGACAUUUGAAUGUAUCGUUACUAGUGGGCCAUUUUUGGUAAGCAGAACUGGCGAUGCGGGAUGAACCGAACGCGGAGUUAAGGUGCCGGAAUGCACGCUCAUCAGACACCACAAAAGGUGUUGGUUCAUCUAG